UACGUAGGGUGCAAGCGUUGUUCGGAUUUAUUGGGCGUAAAGCGCGUGUAGGCGGUUUCUUAAGUCUGAUGUGAAAGCCCCGGGCUCAACCCGGGAAGUGCAUUGGAUACUGGGAGACUUGAAUACGGGAGAGGGUAGUGGAAUUCCUAGUGUAGGAGUGAAAUCCGUAGAUAUUAGGAGGAACACCGGUGGCGAAGGCGGCUACCUGGACCGAUAUUGACGCUGAGACGCGAAAGCGUGGGGAGCAAACAGG
RNAcentral lists this ribosomal RNA (253 nucleotides) under uncultured bacterium. Its description in RNAcentral is "partial 16S ribosomal RNA". It matches the Rfam family "Bacterial small subunit ribosomal RNA", at positions 524 to 776 of the family's 1533-position model. The record is from RNAcentral.